GUUAAUGUGGUUGAAAUUUACUAAGGAAUACUAAUGUAACUGAGAUGAAGAUAUGAAACACAUGAACAAGUCAAAUAAAGUUAGUGAUUGGUUGUCAUUAUCCAUUGAUAGAAAUAUGUGGAAAGUGAGAAAAUUUAGUGGAAGGAUCCGGUUUAUUUUUGUUGAUUACUUGGAAAUGAAGGAUUUGAGAAAGAUAAUUUGACCAUAUUAAUUACGAACUUGUCCAUCUCCCAAUUUUGACAUCUUUGUUUCUUUGACUGUAAUUUGAUCAUCAUUAAAGAUUGGAAUUGAACGCAUACUGCUAUUUUGCCAUAUGUCGUUUUGCUAACAAUGAAUAUAAUGUGCGUGUUGUUCAUACUUUUCAGUGGAAUUUUCUCAUCAUUGAUAAAAAAGUUGUGUAUACUCAUUAAACAAAUUGUUGUAGUUGUCCGAUCAGUGUGAUUGCUCUGUCUAGGUAGCCAUAUGCAAUUGGGAGCACAUAAUUUGUAGAGCCAUGGGAGCACUAGAUCAUUUCUCUAAUUUAAAUUUCAAUUUACUCAGUUCAUAAUUUCUGUGUUCAGAUAUCCCAAAUACGAAAAGCAUUAGUUAAUGCAUACAAGAAAGUAGCAAGAACGUAGGAGGAAAAAGUGCGCAAAAGAUGCAGGUCUUGAUACAAAUGCAAGUCUUGAUGAAGAAUUAGUAUAUAGCACAAGCACAUUCAUGCAUUCACACUUGCAUGCUGUAGCACUAACAAUGCAUGGAAGAUGGCAUUUAUUACACAGCACAUAUGCAAUAUAAUUCCUUUUUGAAAAUGCAUCUCAACUCUAUCAUACAUUACUAUUCUUCACUCAAACCAGUUUACAGGCACUUGUUUUGCCAGUUCUGUACAUCAAUUAUUUGUCUGGUUUUUCUUAAGUCCCAUCAAACACGCUUUUUUUUUUUUUUGGUUUGCUUGUUAGUACACCCACUGUCAGUUCAUUUGAGAGCUCUUUCUAGUACAUCUGUUGGUUGUAACUCCUAGAGCUAUACUGUAGAUUGAAACUUUAUUUCUAAAUAAGAAAAAAAAUGUUAGUUGAAAUUGUGGUUGGUCUAAAUUUUCUAGGUGUAGAGAGUGGAAGUACAAAGAGUAUGGCUCAUGCUGCGGAGUGCGUCGAAAGGGCAACUGGUGACAUGUUGAUUGGUCCAAACUGGGAAGUCAAUAUUGAGAUCUGUGACAUUAUUAAUAUGGAUCCAGGGAAAUGGUUUGUUUAUGUUUAAAGUGGCUAGGAGAUGUAUUGGUGUGAAUUUUCUUGGGCUGGAAAUAAAUAAGAAGGGAUGCAAUAUCUACGACGGUUGCUGUCAGCUAGAUAUUCAGUUCUCCAAGUAUGUACCUUUUGGAAUGCCAUUAUUUACUGCUUUCGGUUUUUGCACCUGACAUGGCUCUUUUUUUCUUCUGUUCACAAUCCAGCCUCAGUGAGUUACAGGUGAACUAUAAUAAAUGAGCGAUCUAGGUGCGCUGGUAGCUUCUCAUACAUUUAGCUUUCUGUGGCUUGAAAAUUUUAUACUUAAGGGGCCUUAUCGAUUGUCAGCUUAAUGCUACUGCUGUUGAGACUCACUUUUUGUUUGCAGGGAUUUCACAAAUCUGUCGUUGCCAUCUGAUCAGACAAGCAGAUCCUCUCUGGUAGUUUUGCACUGAAGAAGCAAAUGCUGGAUGACAGAAGAUUCUCCAAAAUGCAUCUGAAUUUGCAACGCCUCCUGCAGUUAUGUUGAGGAUGCAGGGGAUCCUUAUAGAGAUCAGAUGAAAGAUUGUAUCAGUUUAAUAAUGGAAGAAUUGAAAUCUAGAGGAAUUGCCAACAAUCACACUCUGGCAUACCAGGUAAUUCAUUUAAAAUUUCAGCUUUUGGUUUCUAGCUUUGAUUUCCAACUAUUAGAAAUUUUCAAUAAUCACUCAAACAUCAUGGUCGUCAUCAAAGUAGGUUUUUCUGAUUUCUACCUGAUCAGCUUUACAUUGGAUCAUUUUUAUUUUUAUUUUUUGUUAUUUAUACAAGUUCAGCUAGGAAUAAUUCUUUGACGAAUUAAAAGAUGAUCCUUGCAUGUUCUUGAUUUGGAUUUCUACUAACCAUUCCCUUAGU
Molecule: RNA transcript, 2090 nt
Organism: Magnolia sinica
Lineage: Eukaryota; Viridiplantae; Streptophyta; Magnoliopsida; Magnoliales; Magnoliaceae
Exons: 5
Source: RefSeq, a predicted model, not a curated record